Molecule: ribosomal RNA, 242 nt
Filed under: uncultured bacterium
Lineage: Bacteria
Description: partial 16S ribosomal RNA
Rfam family: Bacterial small subunit ribosomal RNA
Source: RNAcentral
AGUGGCGGACGGGUGAGUAACGCGUGGGUAACCUGCCUCAUACAGGGGAGUAACAGUUAGAAAUAGACUGCUAAUACCGCAUAAGACCACAGCACCGCAUGGUGCAGGGGUAAAAACUCCGGUGGUAUGAGAUGGACCCGCGUCUGAUUAGGUAGUUGGUGGGGUAACGGCCUACCAAGCCGACGAUCAGUAGCCGACCUGAGAGGGUGACCCGGCCACAUUGGGACUGAGACACGGCCCAA